RNAcentral lists this transfer RNA (71 nucleotides) under Marmota monax (woodchuck). RNAcentral describes it as "tRNA.Ala". It matches the Rfam family "tRNA". Rfam says of the family: Transfer RNA (tRNA) molecules are approximately 80 nucleotides in length. Their secondary structure includes four short double-helical elements and three loops (D, anti-codon, and T loops). Lineage: Eukaryota; Metazoa; Chordata; Mammalia; Rodentia; Sciuridae. The record is from RNAcentral.
GGGGUUAUGGCUCAGUGGUAGAGCGUUCACCUUGCACGUGUGAGACCCUGGGUUCAAUUCUCAGUACCACA